Molecule: ribosomal RNA, 457 nt
Filed under: uncultured bacterium
Lineage: Bacteria
Description: bacterial SSU rRNA
Rfam family: Bacterial small subunit ribosomal RNA
Source: RNAcentral
UACGGAAGGCAGCAGUGGGGAAUAUUGCACAAUGGGCGAAAGCCUGAUGCAGCUAUGCCGCGUGUAUGAAGAAGGCCUUAGGGUUGUAAAGUACUUUCAUCGGGGAGGAAAAAACAAAACUAAUAAUUUUAUUUCUUGACGUUACCCGAAAAAGAAGCACCGGCUAACUCCGUGCCAGCAGCCGCGGUAAUACGGAGGGUGCCAGCGUUAAUCAGAAUUACUGGGCGUAAAGAGCACGUAGGUGGUUUUUUUAAAGUCAGAUGUGAAAUCCCUGGGCUUAACCUAGGAACUGCAUUUUGAAACUGAAAUACUAGAGUAUCGUAGAGGGAGGUAGAAUUCUAGGUGUAGCGGUGAAAUGCGUAGAUAUCUGGAGGAAUACCUGUGGCGAAAGCGGCCUCCUAAACGAAUACUGACACUGAGGUGCGAAAGCGUGGGGAGCAAACAGGGAUUAGAUACC